AUGAAAAUCAAUUAAGAACAUUAAAUAGAAAAUGAAAAUGGAGGUGCUGGAACGAAAAUGGGAAAAACGAAAUGGAAACAGCAAGGGAAAUGAACUAAAACGAAAUUAGAUUGGGAGGAAAUGCAUUAAUGAAAUUUAAUGUAAGCUUCAAUAAUAAUUCAGAAAACAAAAGAGAUGAACAAGAGAGAAAAUGAAAAAGAACUUAGAAUGAGGUCUCCAAAACCAAAAACAUGAAAAAAGUACAAUGAGGGAGAGUGGCUAGGUCUGCCCCCCCCC
This 276-nucleotide long non-coding RNA is filed under the name Vigna radiata. RNAcentral's name for it is "long non-coding RNA (VRAD_LNC001567)". Lineage: Eukaryota; Viridiplantae; Streptophyta; Magnoliopsida; Fabales; Fabaceae. The record is from RNAcentral.